AUUGAACGCUGCGGAAUGCCUUACACCUGCCAGUCGGACGGCAGCACGGGGGCAACCCUGGUGGCGAGUGGCGAACGGGUGAGGAAUACAUCGGAACGUUCCCGGUCGUGGGGGAUAACGUAGCGAAAGUUACGCUAAUACCGCCUACGAACCGAGGAUGAAAGCGGGGGACCUUCGGGCCUCGCGCGGUCGGAGCGGCCGAUGUCAGAUUAGGUAGUUGGUGGGGUAAAGGCCUACCAAGCCGACGAUCUGUAGCUGGUCUGAGAGGACGACCAGCCACACUGGGACUGAGACACGGCCCAGACUCCUACGGGAGGCAGCAGUGGGGAAUUUUGGACAAUGGGCGCAAGCCUGAUCCAGCCAUUCCGCGUGCAGGACGAAGGCCUUCGGGUUGUAAACUGCUUUUGUAUGGAACGAAAAGGCUCUGGCUAAUACCUGGGGCUCAUGACGGUACCGUAAGAAUAAGCACCGGCUAACUACGUG
This 483-nucleotide ribosomal RNA is filed under the name uncultured bacterium. Its description in RNAcentral is "partial 16S ribosomal RNA". It matches the Rfam family "Bacterial small subunit ribosomal RNA", at positions 29 to 507 of the family's 1533-position model. The record is from RNAcentral.